RNAcentral lists this unclassified non-coding RNA (889 nucleotides) under Hevea brasiliensis (rubber tree). Lineage: Eukaryota; Viridiplantae; Streptophyta; Magnoliopsida; Malpighiales; Euphorbiaceae. The record is from RNAcentral.
CGCUUAAUAGUUUUUGGAUGAGGCAAGCUGUGGAAUGCUAUUUUUACAAGACAAAUCCAAACAGCAGAAUAGGCUGCUUCUCCAAGCUGCAUCUACAUUCUAUAGUUGUAAUUUUUGGACCAGUUGAUGCAGAUAGCAAUUUCAUAGCCACAGUAAUGUCAAGCAACAAAUAUUAGAGAACUUCAAAAGUUACUACUGAAAAGCACAGAGUGUGUAGAAUUAGAGAACCUCAAAUUUUAUAGUAAUAGUAGUAGAAUGUCACAAACUACUUAUCCCAGUGAAAAGUGCUGAGAGCUCAGCAAAUGUCAGGCCCCAUUUGAGGAUGCAGUAGAAACAAAAAAACUGGUUUAGGUGAAAAGUUGAUUUCUCUUCUGUUUGGUUAUGCGUCUAAACCGAGUUUAGUGUAUACAAAAUCUGGGCUUUGAAAAAGCGUCUCUUUUUAUGCUUUUGGGAAAAUCAGUUUUGUAAGCAUGACCGGACAGCUGUUUUCAGACUUUAUUUCUACAAAAAUACCCUUAAUGAUUUUGAAUAUUUAUGCCAAUAUAAUGGUAAUUUCUUUCUCAUUCUCUCUGCAACUGAAACUUUGAAGAACCCUAGCUACGAUAUCAGUUGAAACUUGGAGAAAGAGAUGAGAAUGGCUUCAUUGAUGUCAACACUUGUCUACUGUCUACUCUACUUCUCCCACUGCAUUCAAUGGCAAUUCAACUUCAUGUCCAAGAAGGCGCAACACAGCAAUUUCGUUCCCCAUCACACAAGCAAGCAAUACGCUCCAUGUAGCCAAUCAUACUGUAAGUGAUUAUUCUCCAAUUAUUUGCUUCUGUUUAAAGUGUUUCUGUUCUUUCCUACGAUUAAUUAGUUUUCUGAAUUUUUUUUUUUUGGGGAUUUUCAA